This 486-nucleotide ribosomal RNA is filed under the name uncultured bacterium. RNAcentral describes it as "partial 16S ribosomal RNA". It matches the Rfam family "Bacterial small subunit ribosomal RNA", at positions 30 to 507 of the family's 1533-position model. The record is from RNAcentral.
AUUGAACGCUGGCGGCAUGCCUUACACAUGCAAGUCGAACGGCAGCACGGGUUCUUGCCCCUGGUGGCGAGUGGCGAACGGGUGAGUAAUACAUCGGAACAUGUCCUGUAGUGGGGGAUAGCCCGGCGAAAGCCGGAUUAAUACCGCAUACGAUCUACGGAUGAAAGCGGGGGACUUUCGGGCCUCGCGCUAUGGGGUUGGCAGAUGGCUGAUGAGCUAGUUGGUGGGGUAAAGGCCUAACAAGGCGACGAUCAGUAGCUGGUAUGAGAGGACGACCAGCUACACUGGGACUGAGACACGGCCCAGACUCCUACGGGAGGCAGCAGUGGGGAAUUUUGGACAAUGGGCGAAAGCCUGAUCCAGCAAUGCCGCGUGUGUGAAGAAGGCCUUCGGGUUGUAAAGCAAUUUUGUCCGGAAAGAAAUCCAUGGCCCUAAUACGGUCGGGUGAUGACGGUACCGGAAGAAUAAGCACCGGCUAACUACGUG